GAUAAGAUUACUACUCACAAUACUCGUGCCGAAAUACAAAGCGUAUCACUUCGAGCAGUCCGUACAACUUCUUUCGAUCAAUCUAUAUUAUCAGAAACAUGAGUUAAGUAUCAACUUCAUGAGUUAAGUAUCAACUUCAUGAACUACGACAUAGUCGGGUUUUAUUCUAUCAAAUGUCCUCCUGAUUCCAUUUGAAAUAACCUCAAUCAGGCUACCCAUGACCCUAUCAAACUAUUCUCUGUAAUUCUUUAUUUCUCAGUUCAUUAAUCGAACAUCAGUUAAUAACUUUAUCAUAAUAAAAUAUCCAAUUUUAAUGUUACCCAUUAUAAAUAAGCACCAUCUCAAUUCCAAUAUCAGAUUUAAAAAGCUAAACAAUUCAAACUUAAACACUCUCAAUAACUCUUCAAAAUAGGUUAUACCCUAAUAUGUGCAUAGCUAAACCCAAUUAAAGUUAAGUGCACAUCAUCUUUCUCGCUAGUAUUUAGCUUCAGUUUCCAAUGAAACCUUACAUACUCGGGGAAACAACUCAAAUAGAAUCAAAGUAACAUUAACCUGUAUAAGCCGAGGUGUGGCAGUAGCUAUGAGCUUCAAAUCUGCUCCUUCUUUUGUCUUGUAUGGUUUAAUGACAAAACUUUAUUCUUCUAAACAUUCUUUCACGUUGCUGAAGUAUUUUACCUUGGUUUUUAGUUGAGUUGUUGUCCAAUAUCUUGCUCCAGGUUAAGCUUUCCUCUCUUUUGCCUUUUGAUUCUUUAAUCUUG
RNAcentral lists this long non-coding RNA (758 nucleotides) under Nicotiana tabacum (common tobacco). RNAcentral's name for it is "long non-coding RNA (NTAB_LNC000317)". Lineage: Eukaryota; Viridiplantae; Streptophyta; Magnoliopsida; Solanales; Solanaceae. The record is from RNAcentral.